AUAAGCAUUAUACGGCGAAACUGCGAAUGGCUCAUUAUAUAAGUUAUCGUUUAUUUGAUAGCACAUUACUACUUGGAUAACCGUGGUAAUUCUAGAGCUAAUACACGCUAAAAAUCCCGACUUCGGAAGGGAUGUAUUUAUUAGAUUAAAAACCAAUGCCCUCUGGGCUCUCUGGUGAAUCAUGAUAACUGCUCGAAUCGCAGGGCCUCGUGCCGGCGAUGGUUCAUUCAAAUUUCUUCCCUAUCAACUUUCGAUGUUUGGGUAUUGGCCAAACAUGGUUACAACGGGUAACGGAGGGUUAGGGCUCGACCCCGGAGAAGGAGCCUGAGAGACGGCUACUACAUCCAAGGAAGGCAGCAGGCGCGCAAAUUACCCAAUCCCGACACGGGGAGGUAGUGACAAUAAAUACUGAUACAGGGCUCUUUCGGGUCUUGUAAUUGGAAUGAGUACAAUUUAAAUCCCUUAACGAGGAACAAUUGGAGGGCAAGUCUUGCC
RNAcentral lists this ribosomal RNA (495 nucleotides) under Pleurocordyceps nipponica. RNAcentral describes it as "SSU rRNA". It matches the Rfam family "Eukaryotic small subunit ribosomal RNA", at positions 65 to 568 of the family's 1831-position model. Lineage: Eukaryota; Fungi; Ascomycota; Sordariomycetes; Hypocreales; Polycephalomycetaceae. The record is from RNAcentral.